RNAcentral lists this ribosomal RNA (550 nucleotides) under uncultured archaeon. Its description in RNAcentral is "bacterial SSU rRNA". It matches the Rfam family "Archaeal small subunit ribosomal RNA", at positions 326 to 878 of the family's 1478-position model. The record is from RNAcentral.
CGGGGUGCAGCAGGCGCGAAACCUCUGCAAUAAGCGAAAGCUUGACAGGGUUAUUCUGAGUGAUUUCCGCUAAGGAAGUCUUUUGGCACCUCUAAAAAUGGUGCAGAAUAAGGGGUGGGCAAGCCUGGUGUCAGCCGCCGCGGUAAUACCAGCACCCCGAGUGGUCGGGACGAUUAUUGGGCCUAAAGCAUCCGUAGCCGGUUCUGCAAGUCUUCCGUUAAAUCCAGCUGCUUAACAGUUGGGCUGCGGAGGAUACUAUAGAGCUAGGAGGCGGGAGAGGCAAGCGGUACUUAGUGGGUAGGGGUAAAAUCCGUUGAUCCACUGAAGACCACCAGUGGCGAAGGCGGCUUGCCAGAACGCGCUCGACGGUGAGGGAUGAAAGCUGGGGGAGCAAACCGGAUUAGAUACCCGGGUAGUCCCAGCUGUAAACGAUGCAGACUCGGUGAUGAAUAGGCUUCGUGCAUAUUCAGUGCCGCAGGGAAGCCGUUAAGUCUGCCGCCUGGGGAGUACGGUCGCAAGACUGAAACUUAAAGGAAUUGGCGGGGGAGCA